UCCUGGUUAACCCAGGCAGUCUCGCUAGAGUACCCAACUAAAUGCUGGCAACUAACGAUAUGGGUUGCGCUCGUUGCGGGACUUAACCCAACACCUCACGGCACGAGCUGACGACAGCCAUGCAGCACCUGUAUAAUGGUCCCGAAGGAAAACGCAAUUUCUUGCGCUGUCCACUACAUGUCAAGUCCAGGUAAGGUUCUUCGCGUUGCAUCGAAUUAAACCACAUGCUCCACUGCUUGUGCGGGUCCCCGUCAAUUCUUUUGAGUUUCACCCUUGCGAGCGUACUCCCCAGGCGGCAUACUUAACGCGUUAGCUACGGCACAGUUGGGGUUGAGACCAACUACACCAAGUAUGCAUCGUUUACAGCUAGGACUAC
RNAcentral lists this unclassified non-coding RNA (376 nucleotides) under uncultured Chlamydiales bacterium. RNAcentral's name for it is "contains 16S-23S intergenic spacer region". The record is from RNAcentral. Lineage: Bacteria; Pseudomonadati; Chlamydiota; Chlamydiia; Chlamydiales.